Molecule: ribosomal RNA, 263 nt
Filed under: uncultured bacterium
Lineage: Bacteria
Description: partial 16S ribosomal RNA
Rfam family: Bacterial small subunit ribosomal RNA
Source: RNAcentral
AUUAACGCUAGCGGCAGGCAUAAUACAUGCAAGUUGAACGGCAGCACAGGUAGCAAUACCGGGUGGCGAGUGGCGCACGGGUGCGUAACACGUAUGCAACCUACCCUAUACAGGCGAAUAACCUUUAGAAAUGAGGGCUAAUACGCCGUGGUAUUAUCUUGGGGCAUCUUGAGAUAAUUAAAGAUUUAUCGGUAUAGGAUGGGCAUGCGUCCCAUUAGUUAGUUGGUAGGGUAACGGCCCACCAAGGCGACGAUGGGUAGCCG